Papaver somniferum (opium poppy) is the source of this 964-nucleotide long non-coding RNA. RefSeq lists it as uncharacterized. NCBI's taxonomy places the organism in Eukaryota, Viridiplantae, Streptophyta, Magnoliopsida, Ranunculales, Papaveraceae. The record is from RefSeq and is a predicted model, not a curated record. The transcript is spliced from 2 exons.
UAAUAGUACUGACGUCUACAAGGAAGGACUGAAGGAGCUCAGCUCACCCUCUCUCAUCCCGUGAGGAAUUAGAGAGAAUACAUCCAUGACGACGGAGACUGCAAAAUGCGAGCGCUUCCAUCGAGCUCUAUGUGAGUGUCACAAGCGUAUCCCAGCAGGUCCAACCAGAGAUUCUGCCUGUCGCCAUUUGAAUCGUUCACUUGCACAAUGCCUCGUAUCUGUGGCGUGUCCUUCCGAAUCAGAAGUUGUUCGUAGUCUCUGUUCUAGUGGUGGUACAUCAUUGAAACGUUCUCAAUGUCAACAGGCGCAGCUUUCUCUUUUCGUCUGUCUUUCCUCUCACCAAAAUCCUUGAAAACCCUAACCCUAAUUGCUUGCUUGUGAAUCUCUGCACCAGCAUUAUCAUCGUCUUGAUUUCAGGAGUAGUCAAGGCUGUACUUUGGAAGCAGCAUUUACUGUCAAGCAACAUAUCCCGUUAUCUUUUCCAAGAUAUUUGCAGGCUCACGAAACAGUUGCUGAGGAUCACGUGACUGUUUGUGGAUCACAAUUAUGGGACCUGUGUUCCUUGACAAUUGUGUGCAAGGCCCCAUAGAUAAUAGGGAUACCUAACCUUGUAUAGAGCUUUGGGAACUGGUUGUUUGGCUGAGUACUCAGAUAACUGGAGAGUAAUCUGUGGAGGCCGAGGUGAGUAGUUUGGAAUUCUUGGAUGUAGAAAUUUACACUGUCAAGUUUCUAUUCACUUUGUGGUCUAUGGGAAGUAUUCGUGCAGCCUGGUGGUGGUUAAAUGAACACUUCUUUCUUGUCUUCUUACAAGCUUAAUUAAUCAUAUUAAAUGUUGUGUCAUGUCUCCUGUGGGUUGCUGCUUUCAAGUGGAUUCAGUAUAUUUGUUUUUGCGUGGCCGCCUGGCACUCCCCAGUUAACACCCCAAUAGUGGACUUCAAUUUGUUUCAAGUCUGAUUCUACAUUA